This 497-nucleotide ribosomal RNA is filed under the name uncultured bacterium. Its description in RNAcentral is "partial 16S ribosomal RNA". It matches the Rfam family "Bacterial small subunit ribosomal RNA", at positions 28 to 507 of the family's 1533-position model. The record is from RNAcentral.
GAUGAACGCUGGCGGCGUGCCUAAUACAUGCAAGUCGAGCGAACGGACGAGAAGCUUGCUUCUCUGACGUUAGCGGCGGACGGGUGAGUAACACGUGGAUCCCCUACCUAUAAGACUGGGAUCACUACGGGAAACCGUAGCUAAUACCGGAUAAUAUUUUGCACCACAUGGUUCAUAGGUGAAAGACGGUCUUGCUGUCACUUCUAGAUGGAUCUGGGCUGCAUUAGCUAGUUGGUAAGGUAACGGCUUACCAAGGCAACGAUGCAUAGCCGACCUGAGAGGGGGGUAGGCGACCUUGGAACUGGGACACGGUCCAGACUCCUACGGGAGGCAGCAGUAGGGAACCGUCCGCAAUGGGCGAAAGCCUGACAGAGCAACGCCGCGUGAGUGAUGAAGGUCUUCGGAUCGUAAAACUCUGUUAUUAGGGAAGAACAGAUGUGUAAGUAACUGUGCACAUCGUGACGGUACCGAAUCAGAAAGCCACGGCUAACUACGUG